Molecule: ribosomal RNA, 504 nt
Filed under: uncultured bacterium
Lineage: Bacteria
Description: partial 16S ribosomal RNA
Rfam family: Bacterial small subunit ribosomal RNA
Source: RNAcentral
GAUAAACGCUAGCGGCAGGCUUAACACAUGCAAGUCGAGGGGCAGCAUAGAUUGUAGCAAUACAAUUGGUGGCGACCGGCGCACGGGUGCGUAACGCGUAUGCAACCUACCCGUCACAGGGGGAUAAUCCGGAGAAAUCUGGUCUAAUACCCCAUAACAUAUGGAUCGGCAUCGGUUCAUGUUGAAAUUUUCGGAGGUGACGGAUGGGCAUGCGUAGCAUUAGCUUGUUGGUGAGGCAACGGCUCACCAAGGCGACGAUGCUUAGGGGGACUAAGAGGUUUUCCCCCCACACUGGAACUGAGACACGGACCAGACUCCUACGGGAGGCAGCAGUGAGGAAUAUUAGUCAAUGGGCGCAAGCCUGAACCAGCCAUGCCGCGUGCAGGAUGACGGCUCUAUGAGUUGUAAACUGCUUUUUUACGAGGGUAAAGUGGGUUACGUGUAACCUUUUGAAAGUAUCGUACGAAUAAGGAUCGGCUAACUCCGUGCCAGCCGCCGCCGUAA